Molecule: ribosomal RNA, 394 nt
Filed under: uncultured bacterium
Lineage: Bacteria
Description: partial 16S ribosomal RNA
Rfam family: Bacterial small subunit ribosomal RNA
Source: RNAcentral
AUACGUAGCGGGCGAGCGUUAUCCGGAAUUAUUGGGCGUAAAGAGUACGUAGGUGGUUUCCUACGCGAGGGGAUUAAGGCACUGGCUUAACCAUUGUUCGCCCCCCGAACUGGGGAACUUGAGUGCUGGAGAGGAAAGCGGCAAUCCUAGGGUAGCGGUGAAAUGCGUAGAUAUUAGGAGGAACACCAGUGGCGAAGGCGGCUUUCUGGACAGUAACUGACACUGAGGUACGAAAGUGUGGGGAGCAAACAGGAUUAGAUACCCUGGUAGUCCACACCGUAAACGAUGAGCACUAGGUGUCGGGCUCGCAAGAGUUCGGUGCCGCAGUUGACGCAUUAAGUGCUCCGCCUGGGGAGUACGUACGCAAGUAUGAAACUCAAAGGAAUUGACGGGG